GACGAACGCUGGCGGCGUGCCUAAUACAUGCAAGUUGAGCGAUGAAGAUUGGUGCUUGCACCAAUUUGAAGAGCAGCGAACGGGUGAGUAACGCGUGGGGAAUCUGCCUUUGAGCGGGGGACAACAUUUGGAAACGAAUGCUAAUACCGCAUAACAACUUUAAACAUAAGUUUUAAGUUUGAAAGAUGCAAUUGCAUCACUCAAAGAUGAUCCCGCGUUGUAUUAGCUAGUUGGUGAGGUAAAGGCUCACCAAGGCGAUGAUACAUAGCCGACCUGAGAGGGUGAUCGGCCACAUUGGGGCUGAGACACGGCCCAAACUCCUACGGGAGGCAGCAGUAGGGAAUCUUCGGCAAUGGACGAAAGUCUGACCGAGCAACGCCGCGUGAGUGAAGAAGGUUUUCGGAUCGUAAAACUCUGUUGGUAGAGAAGAACGUUGGUGAGAGUGGAAAGCUCAUCAAGUGACGGUAACUACCCAGAAAGGGACGGCUAACUACGU
RNAcentral lists this ribosomal RNA (496 nucleotides) under uncultured bacterium. Its description in RNAcentral is "partial 16S ribosomal RNA". It matches the Rfam family "Bacterial small subunit ribosomal RNA", at positions 28 to 506 of the family's 1533-position model. The record is from RNAcentral.